CCCAGGACAAAUGUUCCCUAUUGAACCGUAAAGAAACCGAAAGGCGAAGGUUGUGACGGCUUUGGAAAACUCGCAGGUGCGCAAGUCAGCAAAUGCCAUGAGCACGUGUGCAAAAGGGCCGAAAACGCCAGUCAUCACAUGCGGUGGCAUUUUCUAUCUCUAGGAUCUGUGAUGCCCCUUUAAAAAGGCAUCCUUUGACCUCCCUUCGGCUGGCCUUAAAUACCAUUUCCGGGUCUUCUCAUAGAAAUCCAUACCUUUGGCUCCACCCUCCCAUCCACCUUGAACUCUUGAGAACAAAGCAGUUUCAGGGUGCCUAGGCCUUUCUUGCUCAGGAAAGAUGGAAACCUUGGGGGUUCGGGAGACAAGACGGAGAGAUGGGAGCUAUUGAAAGCCAAGGCAAAGCCUGCCUGCCAUCCCUUGCCAUUGACAGGGAACAUCACAUAAUUUUUCCAGAAGAACUAAAGUCCUGGACACCAGCCAUGUCUUGACAGCUGCCUAAACAUGAUCCAUGAGUCUUCCAGAAGAAGGAUGCCCUAUUCAUGCCCACAGACUUUAAUAAGAACCACCUCCCAUUCAAACUGCCUUUGUGGAUACAUCUUGUCAACAACCUGUAUGUAGUACUCCCAACCUCCCCCAUCCCUGCCUUCAACAGAGUGGAGAUCUUGAAAGAUGAA
Molecule: long non-coding RNA, 674 nt
Organism: Prionailurus viverrinus (fishing cat)
Lineage: Eukaryota; Metazoa; Chordata; Mammalia; Carnivora; Felidae
Exons: 2
Source: RefSeq, a predicted model, not a curated record